CAAAUAUGCAUUUCUUUAUAUAUUUCUUUUAUGAAGCUAUUUUAAAAGUAAGCCAAGUGCUGUCUAGUCUGCUUAUAAAGUAGGAAUUGCAUCAGAGUACAUAUAUUCUUGCUGUACAAUGCCUGUGAUGUUGAGGAGGGUUCUUUUUUAAAGUGUGUGCUUGAGUAUCUGACUCUAUGGAGUCUACAAAUGCACUGACUUCUUGUUUGUACCCCAAAAUGAUUGAAUUGUUAAGUACAAAAUUAAGCUAAUUAACCAAUUUGUAACCAUUUUUUCACUCAUAAACAGCUACUCAAUACUAGACAAUUUUGUUUUUUAUGUAUGUGUAUGUACGUAAAUACAUACAUAUUAAUUUACAUUAGAGUGAAAAAUAAAUGGUUUGUUUCUGAAGUUAGUUUCUAAAGUGAGUUUUCAGGUGUCUCUGAAAAAUUUAUAACAAUCAUCAUGUAUUAUAUGUGCUGUAACAUCAUGUACGUUACCUCCAUCUAUUUUAGGACAUUUUCCUCACCUAUAUAUUAUAGGGAGAAUAAUUUAGAUACACAUGCUCAGAGCUGAGAUAUUUCUCUGAUAAAUCAGGUAACAAAAUGUAUUUGAUUGAUGGAAUUUUGAAGUAAAUGUGAUUUUAUCCAUCAGUUUCUGAGUAACAAAGAGCACCAAGUUUUAAUUUAAAUAGGGGAUUUCACACUAGGGAUCAGGGAGUUUAGUUAUGAAGAGUUAAAAAAAUUUAAAAAACAGUGUAAGCUAUUGAAAUGGCAAGUGAAUUUAAUUAUGUAAUAAAAUAUUUUUAAAUUUUGACAUAGUGAUCAUUUAAUGAAAAAACUCACCAAAAUGUCUCCAUUUGAAUUGUAUUGAUAAUGUGGGACAUAUGUGUAAUUCAAUAUAUACAUAUACCCAUAUGUAUAUACAGAAAAUUAUUUUUAAUACUUUCCUACUGAUAUGAAAUUUAAAAUUGGAAAUUUUGUGAGUGUUUUUCUUGUCCAAUAGAGCCUGAUUGUUUCCUUUUUUAGUGAUUUAACAAUCUCUUGAGGGCUGCACCUUUAAAUUCCCAGAUUGUCAAUAGACAUGUACAGUAUAUGGGAUAAGGUGGACACAAGUGCACAUAUAAAUAAAAUCUUCUUAAGACUUUUAACUAUUCAUUUACAGUAGGAGAGUAUGUAGAAAUCAUCAUCCACAAGUCAUAAUUAGGUUGUGUGCCUACUGUAGUUUUUUCCAUUUCUGUAUUAUAUAAACAUUUGCAUAUUGAAAUUUGAUUUUUCCCAGAGACAAGUAUUAUAUACUGUAUCUAUAUUUAAAUCAAACUGUGGUAAUAUAUUUCUCAGAAAAUAAUGUUGGGGACUAUAGCCUGAACAUGUGGACUUGAAGCGACAUGGAGGAGGAGGUUGAUCCCGUUGUGUAUAAGUUAAUAUGUGAUAACUAUUGAACCUUGUACAAAAACAAAAAUUGAAAAAAAAAAAAAGCAAAAAUACAGUUUUUAUUUUGAAAUA
Molecule: long non-coding RNA, 1484 nt
Filed under: Pongo abelii (Sumatran orangutan)
Lineage: Eukaryota; Metazoa; Chordata; Mammalia; Primates; Hominidae
Description: lncRNA (ENSPPYG00000035135.1)
Source: RNAcentral